This 579-nucleotide ribosomal RNA is filed under the name uncultured bacterium. Its description in RNAcentral is "bacterial SSU rRNA". It matches the Rfam family "Bacterial small subunit ribosomal RNA", at positions 338 to 916 of the family's 1533-position model. The record is from RNAcentral.
CCUACGGGAGGCAGCAGUAAGGAAUAUUGGACAAUGGCCGCAAGGCUGAUCCAGCCAUCCAGCGUGCAGGAAGAAGGCCCUAUGGGUUGUAAACUGCUUUUAUCAGGGAAUAAACCUCUUUAUUUAUAGAGAGCUGAAGGUACCUGAAGAAUAAGCACCGGCUAACUCCGUGCCAGCAGCCGCGGUAAUACGGAGGGUGCGAGCGUUAUCCGGAAUUACUGGGUUUAAAGGGUGCGUAGGCGGCUUUGUAAGUCAGGAGUGAAAGUUUGCGGCUCAACCGUAAAAUUGCUUCUGAUACUGCAUAGCUAGAAUUAGGAUGAGGUCAGCGGAAUGUGGCAUGUAGCGGUGAAAUGCAUAGAUAUGCCAUAGAACACCAAUUGCGAAGGCAGCUGACUAGACCUGGAUUGACGCUGAGGCACGAAAGCGUGGGGAGCGAACAGGAUUAGAUACCCUGGUAGUCCACGCCCUAAACGAUGCUUACUCGACGUAUGGCACUAGAUGUUGUGCGUCCAAGGGAAACCGUUAAGUAAGCCACCUGGGGAGUACGACCGCAAGGUUGAAACUCAAAGGAAUUGACGG